GCGGCAUUAGCUCAGUUGGGAGAGCGUGAGAUUGAAGUUAUUCAAUAUCAUUCCGAUCAGCACGGGGUUCGACCCCGGCGCGACGCGGAUCCUCAAGGUCCUUGGUUCGAACCCGAGAUGGCGCA
This 125-nucleotide transfer RNA is filed under the name Ceraceosorus bombacis. It matches the Rfam family "tRNA". Rfam says of the family: Transfer RNA (tRNA) molecules are approximately 80 nucleotides in length. The record is from Rfam by way of RNAcentral. Lineage: Eukaryota; Fungi; Basidiomycota; Exobasidiomycetes; Ceraceosorales; Ceraceosoraceae.